UACAUUUGAGUGAGUGGCGAACUGGUGAGUAACACGUGGGAAACCUGCCCAGAAGCGGGGGAUAACACCUGGAAACAGAUGCUAAUACCGCAUAACAACUUGGACCGCAUGGUCCGAGCUUGAAAGAUGGCUUCGGCUAUCACUUUUGGAUGGUCCCGCGGCGUAUUAGCUAGAUGGUGGGGUAACGGCUCACCAUGGCAAUGAUACGUAGCCGACCUGAGAGGGUAAUCGGCCACAUUGGGACUGAGACACGGCCCAAACUCCUACGGGAGGCAGCAGUAGGGAAUCUUCCACAAUGGACGAAAGUCUGAUGGAGCAACGCCGCGUGAGUGAAGAAGGGUUUCGGCUCGUAAAACUCUGUUGUUAAAGAAGAACAUAUCUGAGAGUAACUGUUCAGGUAUUGACGGUAUUUAACCAGAAAGCCACGGCUAACUACGUGCCAGCAGCCGCGGUAAUACGUAGGUGGCAAGCGUUGUCCGGAUUUAUUGGGCGUAAAGCGAGCGCAGGCGGUUUUUUAAGUCUGAUGUGAAAGCCUUCGGCUCAACCGAAGAAGUGCAUCGGAAACUGGGAAACUUGAGUGCAGAAGAGGACAGUGGAACUCCAUGUGUAGCGGUGAAAUGCGUAGAUAUAUGGAAGAACACCAGUGGCGAAGGCGGCUGUCUGGUCUGUAACUGACGCUGAGGCUCGAAAGUAUGGGUAGCAAACAGGAUUAGAUACCCUGGUAGUCCAUACCGUAAACGAUGAAUGCUAAGUGUUGGAGGGUUUCCGCCCUUCAGUGCUGCAGCUAACGCAUUAAGCAUUCCGCCUGGGGAGUACGGCCGCAAGGCUGAAACUCAAAGGAAUUGACGGGGGCCCGCACAAGCGGUGGAGCAUGUGGUUUAAUUCGAAGCUACGCGAAGAACCUUACCAGGUCUUGACAUACUAUGCAAAUCUAAGAGAUUAGACGUUCCCUUCGGGGACAUGGAUACAGGUGGUGCAUGGUUGUCGUCAGCUCGUGUCGUGAGAUGUUGGGUUAAGUCCCGCAACGAGCGCAACCCUUAUUAUCAGUUGCCAGCAUUAAGUUGGGCACUCUGGUGAGACUGCCGGUGACAAACCGGAGGAAGGUGGGGAUGACGUCAAAUCAUCAUGCCCCUUAUGACCUGGGCUACACACGUGCUACAAUGGAUGGUACAACGAGUUGCGAACUCGCGAGAGUAAGCUAAUCUCUUAAAGCCAUUCUCAGUUCGGAUUGUAGGCUGCAACUCGCCUACAUGAAGUCGGAAUCGCUAGUAAUCGCGGAUCAGCAUGCCGCGGUGAAUACGUUCCCGGGCCUUGUACACACCGCCCGUCACACCAUGAGAGUUUGUAACACCCAAAGUCGGUGG
Molecule: ribosomal RNA, 1364 nt
Filed under: Lactiplantibacillus plantarum subsp. plantarum
Lineage: Bacteria; Bacillati; Bacillota; Bacilli; Lactobacillales; Lactobacillaceae
Description: bacterial SSU rRNA
Rfam family: Bacterial small subunit ribosomal RNA
Source: RNAcentral